Non-coding RNA from Physcomitrium patens, 1093 nucleotides. The record is from RefSeq and is a predicted model, not a curated record. Lineage: Eukaryota; Viridiplantae; Streptophyta; Bryopsida; Funariales; Funariaceae.
AACUUGCAAGGUCCAACAAACGCACAUCUGAGUAAAGACCUCACCAACACACUACAUCUAACAAGCCUGCUAGCACGAUUGAUUCAGCUCCACAACACGGACAAUCUAGAUUGCAUCAACCUCAACACUUUAGACGCGAUAACUGAUAUGCCUGUGAGGUACAACUCGCUGGAAGGACUCGAAGGAAGGAAGGUUCGCAUACACACCUGGUGUUCUCUGGCUUCAACGACACGGGAAAAAGACAGCGCUCUCAGCCGCAACACGUAUCAUUAAGAGGUUUAGGGUUGCUGAAGCCCAUGACUUCAUACAGGCGGUGCUCCGUACUUCCUUCAACUCGAAUGGAUUGACAAUUCGGAUGGAUUGAUAGCUUUGCGUGGCUGCGUAUGGCGGCCUUGGAAACCCAAUUCUAAUUCUCUUCCAAUAUAAACCCUUUGCAUUGCUCACUCGACAUACAGAGUAACGUUAGUGGAUGUGUGUGGAAGUGCUUGAAGAUAUGUUCGAAAAUGUCUUCACUCUUUCGCUAAGGCAGCUCCUUUACUUCUGGGCAAUCCCUGCGUCUCUCUUUUCUCUCUUCCAGUGGACUACAAUCUCUUCUUAUAGCUCAUUGUGUCUCUCUCCCCUAGUAUUCAUCUUCGGGAUGUCCUGUUCUGAAACCAUGGCCGGGGCUGAUGCCAAGCCAGGCAAAGCCAUCCAUACAAAACAAAAGUCAAUUAGUUUCUUGUAUUGCCUUCAAAGUAGAGUCAUGCAGUAUAUUCAUGGUGUCAACAUUGUUCCUGCCAGUGUAGUAAUUUUAGCAUUAUUCUUGGUUCUAAUUAUAUUAUUGGAAGUUCUACAUAGAAACCAGCCGGGUAUAACAUUUUGAAUAUUGAUUACAGUGCCAUUGUUCACUUUUGGGAUUUUUCUCUCUUUGUCAGGGGCCUGAGUAUUUCGUUCAUAACUGCUACUUUCUUAGUAACUUGGUGCUGCUGUGAAUCUCGUCAAGCUCGGCCCACCAGUUCUGGAGCUGUCUCGGAGGGUUUUGUUUUGAGCACGACAAGUAUUUUGUGCAUUGCUUGUAUUGUUUCUCUUGGCAAGGACUUCAAAGUAUUUUUCA